This 468-nucleotide ribosomal RNA is filed under the name uncultured bacterium. RNAcentral's name for it is "partial 16S ribosomal RNA". It matches the Rfam family "Bacterial small subunit ribosomal RNA", at positions 28 to 507 of the family's 1533-position model. The record is from RNAcentral.
GACGAACGCUGGCGGCGCGCCUAACACAUGCAAGUCGAACGGAGCUGAGAGAAGCUUGCUUUUCUUAGCUUAGUGGCGAACGGGUGAGUAACGCGUGCGUAACCUGCCCUGGAGUGGGGGACAACAGUUGGAAACGACUGCUAAUACCGCAUAAGCCCACGAUCCGGCAUCGGCUUGAGGGAAAAGGAUUUAUUCGCUUCAGGAUGGACUCGCGUCCAAUUAGCUAGUUGGUGAGGUAACGGCCCACCAAGGCGACGAUUGGUAGCCGGACUGAGAGGUAGAACGGCCACAUUGGGACGGAGACACGGCCCAGACUCCUACGGGAAGCAGCAGUGGGGGAUAUUGCACAAUGGGGGAAACCCUGAUGCAGCGACGCCGCGUGGAGGAAGAAGGUGUUCGGAUUGUAAACUCCUGUCGUUAGGGACGAUAAUGACGGUACCUAACAAGAAAGCACCGGCUAACUACGUG